UUCUAGCCCCGGGUGAAGCGGCAUCCCCGCCUCGGCGGGAUAUAGCGGAACACGGGACUGAUU
RNAcentral lists this unclassified non-coding RNA (63 nucleotides) under Halpernia humi. RNAcentral's name for it is "Chryseobacterium humi Flavo-1 RNA". Lineage: Bacteria; Pseudomonadati; Bacteroidota; Flavobacteriia; Flavobacteriales; Weeksellaceae. The record is from RNAcentral.